RNAcentral lists this ribosomal RNA (216 nucleotides) under uncultured bacterium. RNAcentral describes it as "partial 16S ribosomal RNA". It matches the Rfam family "Bacterial small subunit ribosomal RNA", at positions 524 to 735 of the family's 1533-position model. The record is from RNAcentral.
UACGUAGGGUGCAAGCAUUAAUCGGAAUUAUUGGGCGUAAAGCGCGUGUAGGCGGCUUUGCAAGUCGGGUGUGAAAGCCCUCAGCUCAACUGAGGAAGUGCGCCCGAAACUGCAGAGCUUGAGUGCCGGAGAGGGGUGGCGGAAUUCCCCCAAGUAGAGGUGAAAAUUCGUAGAUAUGGGGAGGAACACCGGGUGGCGAAGCGGCCACCUGGGACG